RNAcentral lists this ribosomal RNA (492 nucleotides) under uncultured bacterium. Its description in RNAcentral is "partial 16S ribosomal RNA". It matches the Rfam family "Bacterial small subunit ribosomal RNA", at positions 29 to 507 of the family's 1533-position model. The record is from RNAcentral.
AGUGAACGCUGGCGGUAGGCCUAACACAUGCAAGUCGAACGGCAGCACAGUAAGAGCUUGCUCUUACGGGUGGCGAGUGGCGGACGGGUGAGGAAUACAUCGGAAUCUACUUUUUCGUGGGGGAUAACGUAGGGAAACUUACGCUAAUACCGCAUACGACCUACGUGUGAAAGCAGGGGAUCUUCGGACCUUGCGCGAUUGAAUGAGCCGAUGUCGGAUUAGCUAGUUGGCGGGGUAAAGGCCCACCAAGGCGACGAUGCGUAAAUGGUCUGAGAGGAUAAUCAGCCACACUGGUACUGAGACACGGUCCAGACUCCUACGGGAGGAAGCAGUGGGGGAUAUUGGACAAUGGGCGGAAGCCUGAUCCAGCCAUACCGCGUGGGUGAAGAAGGCCUUCGGGUUGUAAAGCCCUUUUGUUGGGAAAGAAAAGCAGCAGGUUAAUACCCCGCUGGUCUGACGGUAACCAAAGAAUAAGCACCGGCUAACUUCGUG